RNAcentral lists this ribosomal RNA (440 nucleotides) under uncultured bacterium. RNAcentral describes it as "partial 16S ribosomal RNA". It matches the Rfam family "Bacterial small subunit ribosomal RNA", at positions 338 to 795 of the family's 1533-position model. The record is from RNAcentral.
CCUACGGGUGGCAGCAGUGGGGAAUAUUGCACAAUGGGGGAAACCCUGAUGCAGCGACGCCGCGUGAGUGAAGAAGUAAUUCGGGAUGUAAAGCUCUAUCAGCAGGGAAGAAAAUGACGGUACCUGAGUAAGAAGCCCCGGCUAACUACGGUCCAGCAGCCGCGGUAAUACGUAGGGGGCAAGCGUUACCCGGAUGUACGGGGUGUAAAGGGAGCGUAGACGGCAGGGCAAGUCUGGAGUGAAAGGCGGGGGCUUAACCCCGGGACUGCUCUGGAAACUGUACGGCUGGAGUGCAGGAGAGGUAAGUGGAAUUCCAGGUGUAGCGGUGAAAUGCGUAGAUAUUAGGAGGAACACCAGUGGCGAAGGCGGCUUACUGGACUGUAACUGACGUUGAGGCUCGAAAGCGUGGGGAGCAAACAGGAUUAGAUACCCUAGUAGUC